Molecule: ribosomal RNA, 505 nt
Filed under: uncultured bacterium
Lineage: Bacteria
Description: partial 16S ribosomal RNA
Rfam family: Bacterial small subunit ribosomal RNA
Source: RNAcentral
GACGAACGCUGGCGGCGUGCCUAAUACAUGCAAGUAGAACGCACGGUUUAUACCGUAGCUUGCUACACCAUAGACUGUGAGUUGCGAACGGGUGAGUAACGCGUAGGUAACCUGCCUGGUAGCGGGGGAUAACUAUUGGAAACGAUAGCUAAUACCGCAUAAUAUUAAUUAUUGCAUGAUAAUUAAUUGAAAGGUGCAAUUGCACCACUACCAGAUGGACCUGCGUUGUAUUAGCUAGUAGGUGAGGUAACGGCUCACCUAGGCGACGAUACAUAGCCGACCGGAGAGGGUGAUCGGCCACACUGGGACUGAGACACGGCCCAGACUCCUACGGGAGGCAGCAGUAGGGAAUCUUCGGCAAUGGACGAAAGUCUGACCGAGCAACGCCGCGUGAGUGAAGAAGGUUUUCGGAUCGUAAAGCUCUGUUGUAAGAGAAGAACGGGUGUGAGAGUGGAAAGUUCACACUGUGACGGUAUCUUACCAGAAAGGGACGGCUAACUACGUG